Heterocephalus glaber (naked mole-rat) is the source of this 723-nucleotide long non-coding RNA. NCBI's taxonomy places the organism in Eukaryota, Metazoa, Chordata, Mammalia, Rodentia, Bathyergidae. The record is from Ensembl.
AGGCUGGCGGCGGCCGUAGUCCCCCUGAGUCAUCAAUCAGGCCUGUCUGCGGAGGGCCCCAGCACGCAGGGUGGGGGGUGCAGGAUUUUAAACUCAAAAGAGGCUCCAACACGGCAGCACUGUGAGGUGCCGAGGGCCUGAAGAUACCUACAGCCCCCAGAAAGUCAGCUCCCUCACCCACCUGGGCAUAAGAUGGCAGACAUGGGUCCCAAGGGCCCUCAGAGAGAUCUUGGAACACUAAUGGCUCCUGGGGAGGCCAGCACCCAAUCUAGAGAACCCCAGAGGUGCUGAACCUGAGGAGAGCCCUAUGCCCAGUCUUCCCGAUUAUUGAGGGCUAGCUUACCUCUCUCUCCAGGGAUGCUGAGAUGUUGGCAGGGACAGACAGGACUGCUGGAGCCAUAGGUCUUAUCAUCUGGUUUGAUGAGUCCAAGGUCACAGCACUGGGAAAGUAUGGAGGGGAUAUUUGAUUCCUUGGUGGCAGUGUCUACAGUGUGGGCCAGGAGAUGUGGAAGGAGAUCAGGAGGGCCGAGGAGGGAAGGAGAUCCCAGAGGGGAUCUUGGAGGUCUGUCUCAGCUUGGGACCAGGAGUUGAAAAUGAGGAAGAAGUAGACCCAGCAGCGUGGGCCAGCAAAGAAUGCCUACUGUGUGUCUGGCAGCGUGCUGGCAAGUCCCGCUUUGGUAAUCACAGCCAGAAAAACCAGAGGAGAUUGUGGGAAAUAUUCAC